Molecule: non-coding RNA, 84 nt
Organism: Coprobacillus sp. CAG:698
Lineage: Bacteria; Bacillati; Bacillota; Erysipelotrichia; Erysipelotrichales; Coprobacillaceae
Source: Rfam
GCAAGAAUGGUGAAAUUGGUAGACACGCAAGAUUCAGAUUCUUGUAUUAGAAAUAAUGUGUGGGUUCGAGUCCCAUUUCUUGCA